RNAcentral lists this ribosomal RNA (301 nucleotides) under uncultured bacterium. RNAcentral describes it as "partial 16S ribosomal RNA". It matches the Rfam family "Bacterial small subunit ribosomal RNA", at positions 509 to 807 of the family's 1533-position model. The record is from RNAcentral.
CAGUCGCCGCGGUAAAACAGAGGGUGCAAGCGUUAAUCGGAAUUACUGGGCGUAAAGCGCGCGUAGGUGGUUUGUUAAGUUGGAUGUGAAAGCCCCGGGCUCAACCUGGGAACUGCAUCCAAAACUGGCAAGCUAGAGUACGGUAGAGGGUGGUGGAAUUUCCUGUGUAGCGGUGAAAUGCGUAGAUAUAGGAAGGAACACCAGUGGCGAAGGCGACCACCUGGACUGAUACUGACACUGAGGUGCGAAAGCGUGGGGAGCAAACAGGAUUAGAUACCCGCGUAGUCCCUGUCUCUUAUAC